Hyla sarda is the source of this 455-nucleotide long non-coding RNA. RefSeq lists it as uncharacterized. Lineage: Eukaryota; Metazoa; Chordata; Amphibia; Anura; Hylidae. The record is from RefSeq and is a predicted model, not a curated record. The transcript has 3 exons.
UCUAAUUAUGUCUCAAGCACCCAUACUUCACAAAAAAAUAGCAUAUUACAGCUGCUUAAUGUCUUUUUCAUCUUCCCAAAGGGAGGGGGCGUGUCCUUCUCUUGCCUGCACUGUGAUGACUCCUCCCUCUCCCUGACUUUUUAGAGAUUGCCUGAACUCUACCACCUAAGACAAUAUGAACAGAAAUGAUUUUCCCAUGCUGCCUACAUAAAUACUCUGGCUUUGCAGAGGGGAGAGUGUGGAGUCUCAUCGCUGCAGUUCACCUAAGACCAAGCUAAUCACCAGGCUAGAUUCCAGCAACCAGAAGCCUAAAUAACUAAGACUUAUAACCUUUAAGAGGUGUGCUCUGAAGUGUACUUGCAGGAACCAGUAGAAGCGACAGGCAGCCGCGAAACGGACGUUGUUCCAAUCUGUCUGCUCCCUCCCCUCACACCGUUGUCGCUAUCCUGUCUCAA